AACGCGAAGAACCUUACCUACCCUUGACAUGCUCGGAAUUUGCCAGAGAUGGUGAAGUGCCUUCGGGAACCGAGACACAGGUGCUGCAUGGCUGUCGUCAGCUCGUGUCGUGAGAUGUUGGGUUAAGUCCCGUAACGAGCGCAACCCUUGUCCUUAGUUGCCAACAGGUAAAGCUGGGAACUCUAAGGAGACUGCCGGUGAUAAGCCGGAGGAAGGUGGGGAUGACGUCAAGUCCUCAUGGCCCUUACGGGUAGGGCUACACACGUGUUACAAUGGGCAGUACAAAGGGAAGCGAAGCCGCGAGGUGUAGCAAAUCUUUUUAAAGCUGUUCGUAGUCCGGAUUGGAGUCUGCAACUCGACUCCAUGAAGUUGGAAUCGCUAGUAAUCGUGGAUCAGAACGCCACGGUGAAUACGUUCCCGGGCCUUGUA
Molecule: ribosomal RNA, 429 nt
Filed under: uncultured Gammaproteobacteria bacterium
Lineage: Bacteria; Pseudomonadati; Pseudomonadota; Gammaproteobacteria
Description: bacterial SSU rRNA
Rfam family: Bacterial small subunit ribosomal RNA
Source: RNAcentral